Molecule: unclassified non-coding RNA, 527 nt
Filed under: Hevea brasiliensis (rubber tree)
Lineage: Eukaryota; Viridiplantae; Streptophyta; Magnoliopsida; Malpighiales; Euphorbiaceae
Source: RNAcentral
AAAUUCUCUGCAGAAACUCCACCCUCAAAAUCCUUUUGAAAAUGGCCUAAAACAUUUUGUAUCUUCUCAUCAAUGUAAGAGAGAGCAAUCUCAGGGUCUACGUUGUUGUCGUCAUCGUCGUCCCUGCACCGGAAAGCCUUUCCUUCCUCAAGCUCAGAAUUCUCCUCCAUCCCCAUAAAUCCCAAAGAAAACCCUAAUCCUAAAAACCUAAUCCUAACCCCAAAACCCUAAGCGAACCUUCCCUAAAGUCCAGCAUCACCUCAACUCCUACAGAAAAAAUCCCACAAAAGCACUCAAAAAACCCACCAGAACCGAGGAACUAAAUCCCCUACUACCGACUUUGGCCUUGGCAUAUCACAAACCCUCAUUGAUUAAUAAAUAUUAUGAACCAAGAACGUUGAUUAACGAUUAAUUUCUAUAUCGGAACUCACGAUCGGGAGCAGAGAAUUGAUUGGAUAAUAAAUCAGAGUUUAAUCGAGCUCGACUCGGCCGGGUCACGGUGCCGAGUUCGAUUGGAUUCUAAAAUA